Transfer RNA from Loxodonta africana (African savanna elephant), 72 nucleotides. It matches the Rfam family "tRNA". Rfam says of the family: Transfer RNA (tRNA) molecules are approximately 80 nucleotides in length. Lineage: Eukaryota; Metazoa; Chordata; Mammalia; Proboscidea; Elephantidae. The record is from Rfam.
UCCUCGUUAGUAUAGUGGUGAGUAUCCCCGCCUGUCACGCGGGAGACCGGGGUUCGAUUACCCGACGGGGAG